Molecule: transfer RNA, 77 nt
Filed under: Lupinus luteus (yellow lupine)
Lineage: Eukaryota; Viridiplantae; Streptophyta; Magnoliopsida; Fabales; Fabaceae
Also listed under: 1 other name
Description: tdbR00000286
Rfam family: tRNA
About the family: Transfer RNA (tRNA) molecules are approximately 80 nucleotides in length.
Source: RNAcentral
GGGGUGGUGGCGCAGUUGGCUAGCGCGUAGGUCUCAUAAUCCUGAGGUCGAGAGUUCGAGCCUCUCUCACCCCACCA